GACGAACGCUGGCGGCGUGCUUAACACAUGCAAGUCGAACGGAAAGGCCCUGCUUUUGUGGGGUGCUCGAGUGGCGAACGGGUGAGUAACACGUGAGUAACCUGCCCUUGACUUUGGGAUAACUUCAGGAAACUGGGGCUAAUACCGGAUAGGAGCUCCUGCUGCAUGGUGGGGGUUGGAAAGUUUCGGCGGUUGGGGAUGGACUCGCGGCUUAUCAGCUUGUUGGUGGGGUAGUGGCUUACCAAGGCUUUGACUGGUAGCCGGCCUGAGAGGGUGACCGGCCACAUUGGGACUGAGAUACAGCCCAGACUCCUACGGGAGGCAGCAGUGGGGAAUAUUGCACAAUGGGCGGAAGCCUGAUGCAGCAACGCCGCGUGCGGGAUGACGGCCUUCGGGUUGUAAACCGCUUUCGCCUGUGACGAAGCGUGAGUGACGGUAAUGGGUAAAGAAGCACCGGCUAACUACGUG
Molecule: ribosomal RNA, 468 nt
Filed under: uncultured bacterium
Lineage: Bacteria
Description: partial 16S ribosomal RNA
Rfam family: Bacterial small subunit ribosomal RNA
Source: RNAcentral